RNAcentral lists this ribosomal RNA (894 nucleotides) under uncultured crenarchaeote FFSC3. RNAcentral's name for it is "bacterial SSU rRNA". It matches the Rfam family "Archaeal small subunit ribosomal RNA", at positions 1 to 872 of the family's 1478-position model. The record is from RNAcentral. Lineage: Archaea; Thermoproteati; Thermoproteota.
UUCCGGUUGAUCCUGCCGGACCCGACUGCUAUCGGAUUGAGAUUUAGCCAUGCGAGUCGAACGCCUUCCUGUUGCGGGAGGCGUGGCGUACGGCUCAGUAACACGUAGUCAACCUGCCCUAGAGACAUGAAUAACCCCGGGAAACUGGGAUUAAUACAUGAUAGAUCAUCUCAUCUGGAAGGAGAGAUGGUUUAAAGGGGUGCGCGAGCUUCUUUUGUGCAUCCGCUCUAGGAUGGGACUGCGGCCGAUCAGGCUGUUGGUGGGGUAAUAGCCCACCAAACCUGUAACCGGUACGGGCCUUGAGAGAGGGGGCCCGGAGAUGGACACUGAGAGAAGGGUCCAGGUCCUACGGGGCGCAGCAGGCGCGAAAACCUUCGCAAUGCGCGAAAGCGUGACGAGGUUAAUCCGAGUGGUUCCCGCUGAGGGAAUCUUUUGUUGGCUCUAAAAUGGCCAGUGAAUAAGGGGAGGGCAGGUCUGGUGUCAGCCGCCGCGGUAAUACCAGCUCCUCGAGUGGUCGGGGCGAUUAUUGGGCCUAAAGCAUCCGUAGCCUGUUCUGUAGGUCUUCUGUUAAAUCCAACGGCUUAACCGUUGGCCUGCAGAAGAUACCGCAGGACUAGGAGGCGGGAGAGGUGGACGGUACUCCACGUGUAGGGGUAAAAUCCUUUGAUCCGUGGAAGACCACCAGUGGCGAAGGCGGUCCACCAGAACGCGCUCGACGGUGAGGGAUGAAAGCUGGGGGAGCGAACCGGAUUAGAUACCCGGGUAGUCCCAGCCGUAAACGAUGCGAGCUAGAUGAUCCAAUCGCAAAUCGCGAUUGGAGUGUCGCAGGGAAGCCGUUAAGCUCGCCGCCUGGGGAGUACGGUCGCAAGACUGAAACUUAAAGGAAUUGGCGGA